GACGAACGCUGGCGGCGUGCUUAACACAUGCAAGUCGAACGGAAAGGCCCUGCUUGCAGGGUACUCGAGUGGCGAACGGGUGAGUAACACGUGGGUGAUCUGCCCUGCACUUCGGGAUAAGCCUGGGAAACUGGGUCUAAUACCGGAUAGGAGCCAUUUUUAGUGUGAUGGUUGGAAAGUUUUUUCGGUGUAGGAUGAGCUCGCGGCCUAUCAGCUUGUUGGUGGGGUAAUGGCCUACCAAGGCGGCGACGGGUAGCCGGCCUGAGAGGGUGGACGGCCACAUUGGGACUGAGAUACGGCCCAGACUCCUACGGGAGGCAGCAGUGGGGAAUAUUGCACAAUGGGCGCAAGCCUGAUGCAGCGACGCCGCGUGGGGGAUGACGGCCUUCGGGUUGUAAACUCCUUUCACUAGGGACGAAGCUUUUUGUGACGGUACCUAGAUAAGAAGCACCGGCUAACUACGUG
This 465-nucleotide ribosomal RNA is filed under the name uncultured bacterium. RNAcentral's name for it is "partial 16S ribosomal RNA". It matches the Rfam family "Bacterial small subunit ribosomal RNA", at positions 28 to 507 of the family's 1533-position model. The record is from RNAcentral.